RNAcentral lists this ribosomal RNA (548 nucleotides) under uncultured Glomus. Its description in RNAcentral is "SSU rRNA". It matches the Rfam family "Eukaryotic small subunit ribosomal RNA", at positions 548 to 1098 of the family's 1831-position model. The record is from RNAcentral. Lineage: Eukaryota; Fungi; Glomeromycota; Glomeromycetes; Glomerales; Glomeraceae.
UUGGAGGGCAAGUCUGGUGCCAGCAGCCGCGGUAAUUCCAGCUCCAAUAGCGUAUAUUAAAGUUGUUGCAGUUAAAAAGCUCGUAGUUGAAUUUCGGGAUUAAUUUAUUGGUCGUGCUAUUGUACGUACUGGUAUUAUUGAUUCCUACCUUCUGACGAACCACGAUGUCAUUAAUUUGGUGUCAUGGGGAAUCAGGACUGUUACUUUGAAAAAAUUAGAGUGUUUAAAGCAGGCUCACGCUUGAAUACAUUAGCAUGGAAUAACGAAAUAGGACGUUUGAUUCUAUUUUGUUGGUUUCUAGGAUCGACGUAAUGAUUAAUAGGGAUAGUUGGGGGCAUUAGUAUUCAAUUGUCAGAGGUGAAAUUCUUGGAUUUAUUGAAGACUAACUACUGCGAAAGCAUUUGCCAAGGAUGUUUUCAUUAAUCAAGAACGAAAGUUAGGGGAUCGAAGACGAUCAGAUACCGUCGUAGUCUUAACCAUAAACUAUGCCGACUAGGGAUCGGAUGAUGUUAAUUUUUUAAUGACUCAUUCGGCGCCUUACGGGAAAC